RNAcentral lists this ribosomal RNA (253 nucleotides) under uncultured bacterium. RNAcentral describes it as "partial 16S ribosomal RNA". It matches the Rfam family "Bacterial small subunit ribosomal RNA", at positions 524 to 776 of the family's 1533-position model. The record is from RNAcentral.
UACGUAGGGGGCGAGCGUUGUCCGGAUUUAUUGGGCGUAAAGAGCUUGUAGGCGGUUUGUCGCGUCUGCCGUGAAAAUCCGGGGCUCAACCCCGGACUUGCGGUGGGUACGGGCAGACUAGAGUGUGGUAGGGGAGACUGGAAUUCCUGGUGUAGCGGUGAAAUGCGCAGAUAUCAGGAAGAACACCCGUGGCGAAGGCGGCUCUCUGGAACGCAACUGACGCUGAGACGCGAAAGCGUGGGGAGCAAACAGG